ACUUUUAUCUGUAGAUAUAGCGGACAAGGUUCAAAGAAAACUCUAAAAAGUACUGUUGGCCUGCGCGAGUUGCAUUGACAUUGUUAGAAAGAACGUUUGGCAAAGAAUGCCAAUUCCAUAUAUUUAUACUAUAUCUUUUAACUUAGAACUAGUCUUUAGAUUAUCCCAACUUAUCUAACACAGUUGACAGAACAGAUAUAACGCGCAAGGUUAAAAAUAUCCGCACGGUAAGGUUAAAUACAAUAAGAUUCAGACAAUUCCAUCGGUUAAUUCCACCUUAACGAAAAUACACUGAUCAACGUUCCUUCGUUAAAUGCCUGUUAUUUAUUGCUACGUGUUAUCUUCGUGGAGCACGCACUGUCCAAACAAAUGCGUGUUUUUAGGCAGAAAUUUGCCAUAUAAAAGUCGCGAACAUCGGUGCCUUCACGCUAAAAGUAAAAACGCGCUGAAAAGGUGCUAACCGAACGAAUAUUCUCAACGAAAGUCAUCAUGUCGCCAUACCUCGUAGCUUUCUUACUCGUCGUUGUGGUUCUCGUUGAUUUAGGCUCGACUGCAACCACAUCGGUUUGCUCAACGAACGAAGAAUGGAUUCGUUGUGGACUGUCGUGCGAACCAAGUUGCAACGAUAGACGUCCGAAUAUCACAAACCCCUGUCCCCGCAGUUCCCGCAGUCCCCGUGGUCUAUAUACCGAAUUUUUUCUAGGUGGUCCUGGUCCCGUAUGCGUUUCCGGCCCCAGUUGUCAGUGUGUCGGAGGUACUUUACGAAACGAAGCCACUAACGAAUGUGUACUACCGGAAAACUGUCCAUAAAUUGAAUAUAUUUUAAUAUUUAUCAAAAAUCGUGAUGCGCGAUUCGCAAAUUCGAGAAAUGGUUUCGUUGAGAUCCAUUGAAUUUCGAAAAUUUCCUUACUGACCGAAGAAGAUGUCGAGAAAAUCAUCUGUAGAAUCGAGCACGAAGAUAUCUAGUCUGAAUUAAUAAAUCGUGCGACUGGAAGAAAUAUUUUUAGAUUUUUAUUAAUUUCUAAACAGUUCUAAAACGAUUUAACGAUAUUUAGCGAUUUCUAUAAUUUUCUACAAGUAUUUUCACCAUUCUAAUGAUGUUUAACGAUUUCUGAUACCGGUUCUGACUUGAUUUUACCAUAGAUAUAGCGCUUCUGCCGUUUCGACCGAUUCUUAAGAGUUUUCUCGCUUACAAGAGUUGAUAUUUCUUUCGGAGUACAAUGCCACGCGCAAAAGGUUUCAUUGUAGUACGCCAUAGUUAAGCAAUUCGUAGUUUAAUGCAAUAUUUAAUUUUGUAAUGACUCUAUCCGUUAAAACAACUGCAUUUUUAUCGUUCACAAAUUGUUUACGCGUAGAUUACCUUGAAUUCUACCUCGUAGAACACUUUUGUAUUUAUUUUUAGUUACGUAAGCAGAAUCGUUUCCGUUUUUACGUUGAAACGCGAAUGUGGCUGAAUUGAAGCGAUGAAAAUACAUACAAUUUUAAUGCCUUUUUGUACCAUUUCUUUGAAUCUGUCAACUGGAUUCAAAGCACGUUUCACGAAUAAUUGUGCAGUAUGUACGGCAGAGGAAAUGUUGUGUCAUCCACUAGGUUCGCGGUUUGUAAUGUUCGCAUUAUCAAGUACCAUUAAUAUUUUUGAAUACGUUUAUAAGGAGUCACAUAGUGAUUCUUCGAAGAAAGUAGUCAUGUUUGAUCAUAAAAUUUGAAACCUUUUUUGCUUGCAGUUUUAUUAUACUUAUCAUCGGUAUAAUGCGCGCUAAUAUGGAAUUCACUUGCAGGAUACCUAACACUCAUACGAGGUACUUACAUAUAAGGAAACUAGGAUAUUCUUCCAAAUGAUUUCGGUGGCCGAUCGGGACGAUAUUUCGUGGGUAUCGUUCGACAAGAUAUUUUAAACCUGAAACAUAAAAUCUUAAUUUCGGGAAAUUUGAUUUUCGGAAGAUAUAAACUCCUACACGUGCAGUAUAUUCUGAUUUUGCUUGUAUCCAAUACUAUAAAGAGAAAGUUAUAACAAGAGUAUCACCGUGAUACGUCUUUGCGGAAAAUAAGAAGCUUCCGGUUAAAGUGCUCAUAAAAGAUACAGACCCGCUCGAAGAUAUGGCUUACAUCUUUUAAACCCGUUUGUUCUAGAUUCGAGUCUACUUACGUGUAAAAGCAUCAUUAUUCUCGUCGAAGCACACACGUGUGCUCGAGAUUUUCUAAUGAAAUUAGAACCUAUUCGCAGUACACGACACGGUAUAUUCCAUCGAUCCCAUUUCCAUUUUUAUUCGUCUUACGAUUCAUUCUACUUAUCAGCGGUUGAGUUUGUCCUCCUCGUUUAAUGUUACUCGAUCCAGAGCCUGAGAAGUAUCGGACAUAUCGGAAGCAUUUCAUUAGCAACGUUUCACAUUCCUUGAAACCUCACUGGGGUUUAUCGGAGUCUGCUAAACGGAUAAUCGGUAAUUGAUUCGCACAGAGACCGGCCGAUUCUCGCCAGUACGUCCCAGCGUGGGUCGUGCGCGAAAUUAAGCGUGCCACUCGCGUCGCGAUACGAUACUAAUUAAUCGACCGGCUCACGGUUAUCCGCGCUGCACUUCUGCGGGCAUUGCAUCGUCCCGAAUUCCGCUUACUUUAACGUGGAACGAUCAAUUUGCGGUCCGAUAAUUGGCCGAUUCUCUCGAACCGUUAAGAAAACGAAAUCGAUUAUUCUUCGCCUCCACCGUACGUCCACGCGUUUCUUCCUUUUCGAUGAGAAGGAAACGCGUCCUUUCUCUGGCAGAAGCUCUACUCGCGUUUUCCUUUAUCGUUGUCGCUUCACGGAAGCUCGUUCCGUUCAAUUAACGCAGCAGUUAGUACACGCUGAUAUCAAUUUCCGCGACGUUGCUUCACGGUCGAGCGUUUACUACUUAAGUGGACACAUCCAAGCAUUGUAGGCGAGCAAUUCAAACUACUCGCGGAGUAGUUAGCGGUCAGUUUAUGCGCAGUUCAUGAGCUCCUGGAAGAGCACGGACGAACACGCCGACGUAACUAGGGUUGAAAGUACACCGGUUUGGAUUUCUAAUACGUGUAUACGAUGUACACGACGAUGUAGACUGUUCCCUGACGUAUCCAGUGAAGCAAUCGGUUAACAGGACGGGGGCCUAUUACGUAUACGGGUCGUCAAAGGGAAUUCCAAGCCUGUGACAUAUUUGAUGGUCGUUGCAGACUCGCUGACUGUUGGCAUAGUUAAAAUGUCAUUGCAUUCGGUUGAUCUAUUGUUCGCGUUUGAUCGCUGCCCCCCCUCCUUUCUUCUAUAUAAACUUCUCUGCCACGAACGAUACCGUUUGUAAUGGAGUAUCAGGCGAAAAAAAGCGAGAGAGGAGAAGGAAAAUAAAACGAACAACGUAAAAAUGGCUAAGGACGAAUUGAAAAUUAAAAUUGAAUUUAUUCCUCGAAUCGAAACUACGAUUUAUUUAUUCGUCGAAUGGAAUUGCUUCUGAUCGUUUCUCUCUUCUCUUCUAUAGAAACUCCGCCGACAUCAGCUGGAUACUUUCCGCGAUUGAAUAUCGAGCGAAAAAAAACAUAAAAUUAAAAAUGCAAAAGAAGACGAGGAUUUAAUCGACGAUUACGGAACGCUAUUUUAAAUUCAUACUACUUGGCAAACAUAAUGGAGACAGAUAGCGACGCAGGUCUUUCCUUCGUCGAAACCAUUGUAUCGAGCCCUUGCCGGCUUAGCGGAGAAAAGAAUUUCUGGCUUGUGCCACUUGGUGGAUUUCACCGGACGGCAUCUUGUUGAGAUGGAACAUUCAUGAGAGGUUCUCCCGUUCGGGAAUGCAACUUUUAUAGGGGUAAGACUCGGGGUGGGUCAUCGCAUUUAUACUUACAUUCUCUCUUUCGAACUCACGUAUCCCGUAAUCGCGUGUUCCGCCGCGAAUAAUUGAUGCGCGGGUGCCUUCCCCAGACUCGCAGUGUGUGACGUACCGUUCGAUAGAAGAUUGAACUCACCGACAAAUUACGACCUUUCCUGGGUAAAAUAGAAUUCUUUCUGAUUUAUUGGGUCCAGUCACGAGAAUCUAAAGUUAUUUCGUCAUCGAAUAUUAAAUAAAAAAAAAAAGGAAGAA
Bombus pascuorum is the source of this 4079-nucleotide long non-coding RNA. RefSeq lists it as uncharacterized. NCBI's taxonomy places the organism in Eukaryota, Metazoa, Arthropoda, Insecta, Hymenoptera, Apidae. The record is from RefSeq and is a predicted model, not a curated record. The transcript is spliced from 5 exons.